This 97-nucleotide ribosomal RNA is filed under the name Candidatus Levybacteria bacterium RBG_16_35_11. Its description in RNAcentral is "partial 23S ribosomal RNA". It matches the Rfam family "Bacterial large subunit ribosomal RNA", at positions 2380 to 2476 of the family's 2925-position model. The record is from RNAcentral. Lineage: Bacteria; Candidatus Levyibacteriota.
ACUUACAAGUCGAGCAGGUGCGAAAGCAGGUCUUAGUGAUCCUGUGAUGCGUAGUGGUACGCACACAGCUUAACGGAUAAAAGCUACCCCGGGGAUA